This 145-nucleotide unclassified non-coding RNA is filed under the name uncultured fungus. Its description in RNAcentral is "sequence contains ITS1". Lineage: Eukaryota; Fungi. The record is from RNAcentral.
GUGAAAUUAAGCGUGUCUGCUUCGGCAGAGCGUGACCUCUCACUCUUCUCACACUGUGCACACUUAGGCGGACUCGGAUUGAAAGAUCUGUCUGCGUCUUCAUUCAUAACACGAGUUGAUGUAUGUCAAAACUUUAUAAACUAAA